GACGAACGCUGGCGGCGUGCUUAACACAUGCAAGUCGAACGGAAAGGCCCUGCUUGCAGGGUACUCGAGUGGCGAACGGGUGAGUAACACGUGGGUGAUCUGCCCUGCACUUCGGGAUAAGCCUGGGAAACUGGGUCUAAUACCGGAUAGGAGCCAUUUUUAGUGUGAUGGUUGGAAAGUUUUUUCGGUGUAGGAUGAGCUCGCGGCCUAUCAGCUUGUUGGUGGGGUAAUGGCCUACCAAGGCGGCGACGGGUAGCCGGCCUGAGAGGGUGGACGGCCACAUUGGGACUGAGAUACGGCCCAGACUCCUACGGGAGGCAGCAGUGGGGAAUAUUGCACAAUGGGCGCAAGCCUGAUGCAGCGACGCCGCGUGGGGGAUGACGGCCUUCGGGUUGUAAAUUCCUUUCGCUAGGGACGAAGCUUUUUGUGACGGUACCUAGAUAAGAAGCACCGGCUAACUACGUG
Molecule: ribosomal RNA, 465 nt
Filed under: uncultured bacterium
Lineage: Bacteria
Description: partial 16S ribosomal RNA
Rfam family: Bacterial small subunit ribosomal RNA
Source: RNAcentral